RNAcentral lists this ribosomal RNA (303 nucleotides) under uncultured bacterium. RNAcentral describes it as "partial 16S ribosomal RNA". It matches the Rfam family "Bacterial small subunit ribosomal RNA", at positions 507 to 808 of the family's 1533-position model. The record is from RNAcentral.
AGCAGUAGCCGCGGUAAUACGUAGGUCCCGAGCGUUGUCCGGAUUUAUUGGGCGUAAAGCGGGCGCAGGCGGUUAGAUAAGUCUGAAGUUAAAGGCUGUGGCUUAACCAUAGUACGCUUUGGAAACUGUUUAACUUGAGUGCAAGAGGGGAGAGUGGAAUUCCAUGUGUAGCGGUGAGAUGCGUAGAUAUAUGGAGGAACACCGGUGGCGAAAGCGGCUCUCUGGUCUGUCACUGACGCUGAGGCUCGAAAGCGUGGGUAGCGAACAGGAUUAGAUACCCCCGUAGUCCCUGUCUCUUAUACA